CAGUCGUACCUUCGGGUAAUCAGCCUUUCGGGUGCGAUUCUGUGGGGUGUGAGGAGCUUAACACCUUCAUGCUUUGCAUAUUUGUGCUCUUGGGUGUACUUGCCCGUGUGGUUGGUUAACAUCAAUUUUGGUUAUCAUAAAAUGACUGGAGGAAUGUAGCUUCGAUCUCGUAUUGAAGUGUUUAUAGCCUUCGGUAGAUGUGAUGAACGAGAUUGAGGAUUGCAACGGAUACCCUUCGGGGCUACCUGUCUGGUCUCUGAUCGUUGCUCUGGUGCCGAAAGCUUGCUUACGGUCAUCAAAGUCGAUGGUCAAUAGGUUAGAACGGGUUAAA
Molecule: ribosomal RNA, 331 nt
Filed under: Rhizophagus irregularis
Lineage: Eukaryota; Fungi; Glomeromycota; Glomeromycetes; Glomerales; Glomeraceae
Description: partial large subunit ribosomal RNA
Source: RNAcentral